Molecule: ribosomal RNA, 2266 nt
Filed under: human gut metagenome
Description: bacterial LSU rRNA
Rfam family: Bacterial large subunit ribosomal RNA
Source: RNAcentral
GCAAAUAUCCUUUGAUCCGGAGAUCUCUGAAUGGGGAAACCCGGCAGAGCACACCUCUGUCAUCCAUACGCCAAUCCAUAACGUAUGGAAGGGAACCCGGGGAACUGAAACAUCUAAGUACCCGGAGGAAGAGAAAGAAACAUCGAUUCCGUAAGUAGCGGCGAGCGAACGCGGAAGAGCCCAAACCGUGAUGCGUGCAUCGCGGGGUUCGGACUGCAGAAGGGAUUCAGCAACGACAGGAGAACGGCUUUGGAACAGCCGGCCAGAGAGGGUGAGAGCCCCGUAUCCAAAGUCAGAGCUGACCUGGCAGGAUCCAGAGUACCACGGGACACGGGAAACCCUGUGGGAAGGAGCGGAGACCACUCCGUAAGGCUAAAUACUACUCAGUGACCGAUAGCGUAUAGUACUGUGAAGGAAAGGUGAAAAGAACCCCGGGAGGGGAGUGAAAGAGAACCUGAAACCCUGUGUCUACAAGCUGUGGAAGUACUUCUUAGGUACGACCGCGUACUUUUUGUAGAACGGUCCGGCGAGCUGCGGGUACUGGCAAGGUUAAGUACUUAAGGUACGGAGCCGUAGGGAAACCAAGUCUUAAUAGGGCGAAUCAGUCAGUACGUGCAGGCCCGAAACCGGGUGACCUAUCCAUGUCCAGGUUGAAGCCGCCGUAAAAGGCGAUGGAGGACCGAACCCACAUCCGUUGAAAAGGGUGGGGAUGAGGUGUGGAUAGCGGAGAAAUUCCAAUCGAACCCGGAGAUAGCUGGUUCUCCUCGAAAUAGCUUUAGGGCUAGCCUCAUACAAGUCUUGCGGAGGUAGAGCACUGAAUUUCCUAGGGGGCGUCAAAGCUUACCGAAGAAUAUCAAACUCCGAAUGCCGUGUAGAUGUUGUAUGGGAGUCAGACUGUACGAGAUAAGUUGGACAGUCAAAAGGGAAAGAGCCCAGACCGCCGGCUAAGGUCCCAAAGUGGGUGUUAAGUGGAAAAGGAUGUGGGAUCUCUAAGACAACCAGGAUGUUGGCUCAGAAGCAGCCAUUCAUUAAAAGAGUGCGUAACAGCUCACUGGUCGAGAGGUCCUGCGCCGAAAAUGUCCGGGGCUGAAACACCACACCGAAGCCGCGGAACUCGUAAGAGUUGGUAGAGGAGCAUUCUUAGGGGAGGGAAGCAUUACCGGAAGGGGAUGUGGACUGCUAAGAAGAGAGAAUGCCGGAAUGAGUAGCGAGAGCAAGGUGGGAAUCCUUGCGGCCGAAUAUCCAAGGUUUCCAGAGUAAAGCUGAUCUGCUCUGGGUAAGUCGGGGCCUAAGGAGAGGCAGAGAUGCGUAUCCGAUGGACAGCAGGUAAAAGAUUCCUGCACCCCUUGUUAUCAGAACUGCGGGGACACGGGAAGGGAAGCAGAGCCGGGAAUGGAAAGCCCGGUGCAAGCGAAGUAGUCGCAGGAUUGGAAAAUCCGUCCUGCAUAAGACGAAGGCGUGAUGCGGAGCGAAACAAAGUAGCGAAGCUGCGGCCCCUUCCUGUCGAGAAAAGCCGCUAUCGUGUAGCAAGGGCCCGUACCGUAAACCGACACAGGUGGAUGAGGAGAGGAUCCUAAGGCCGGCGGGAGAAGUGUUGUUAAGGAACUCGGCAAAAUGACUCCGUAACUUCGGGAGAAGGAGUGCUGCGCAAGCAGCCGCAGAGAAAUGGCCCAAGCAACUGUUUAGCAAAAACACAGGUCUAUGCGAAACCGAAAGGUGAGGUAUAUGGGCUGACGCCUGCCCGGUGCUGGAAGGUUAAGGGGAGAGGUUAGCGCAAGCGAAGCUUUGAACUUAAGCCCCAGUAAACGGCGGCCGUAACUAUAACGGUCCUAAGGUAGCGAAAUUCCUUGUCGGGUAAGUUCCGACCCGCACGAAAGGCGUAAUGAUUUGGGCACUGUCUCAACAACACACCCGGUGAAAUUGAAAUACCAGUGAAGAUGCUGGUUACCCGCGCCAGGACGGAAAGACCCCAUGGAGCUUUACUCCAGCCUGAUACUGGGAUUCGGUAUUGCAUGUACAGGAUAGGUGGGAGGCUAAGAACUUAUGGCGCCAGCCGUAAGGGAGCCAUUGUUGGGAUACCACCCCUGCAGUACUGGGUUUCUAACCUGCGCCCGUGACCCGGGCGGGGGACAAUGUCAGGCGGGGAGUUUGACUGGGGCGGUCGCCUCCGAAAGGGUAUCGGAGGCGCUCAAAGGUUCCCUCAGAAUGGUUGGAAACCAUUCGAAGAGUGCAAAGGCAGAAGGGAGCUUGACUGCGACACCGACGG